GGCAUUUCUGGCUGAAUGAAGUUUCUACAGUUUCUCUUCCUCUCUGGCACAUCAGGCAUCGGGGAUCUGUGUGCUUGGUCUUGGCACAGGCCUCCCUGCUGAGGCUUCAGAAAAAGGCUUAAAGAAAAAGAAUUGCACAGCAACUCUCUUGUGAACUGGGGUGAAUUGUUCAGGGAUUAGAACAUUUCCUGGAAGGAACUCUGAAGAAGAGGGUGACAGAAAAGUUCCUGUCUCCUAGGUACUCUCUUCAGAGCACUGUGCUAUUCCUUCCCCUGCUGACAUUCCAAGAAACUGGAGGAAAAGAGCUUGGCCUGUUUACCUUGAAGUUUGGUUCUUUUUUAGUUCCUCUAUGGAUGGACACCAUGUGAAAAGUAGAGAGGAGAUGAUCAGUUGCCCAAGGCCACUCAGUGGCUUGGGAGAAGGAUAGUAUGGUGAUGUAUUCCAGGAUGUAUCAGGGGAGCAAUUCCCAAUGAUGGCAAAGAAGCAUUAACUGUGUUAUACAAGGCCCAGGGAAAACAACAUCUGGAAUUUUUUGCUGGUCAGGGAGAAUGAAAUUACAUAUGAACAAGUGAAGAGGACUGCAG
This 584-nucleotide long non-coding RNA is filed under the name Apteryx rowi (Okarito brown kiwi). RNAcentral describes it as "lncRNA (ENSARWG00000011539.1)". The record is from RNAcentral. Lineage: Eukaryota; Metazoa; Chordata; Aves; Apterygiformes; Apterygidae.